GCAAUUUCCACUAACUCUGCUCUUUAUCUCUGAAAAGGUCAAACCCCAUUUCGGUUUCCAUGUGAUGCGAGGCCAGACUUCAACCUCUUGGCCAUUGAACACCUGUUCAACUGGAUCGGCUACUUGAACUCCUGCCUUUCUGAGAAUACAGCUAUUUGCACGGUAGAUCGCCAUUUCCCCUGAAGUAGCACUGUGAUAAGGGUUUCCCUUCGGUACCUUAGCAGCAUCUUCGGGGUUAUUCUUCACU
This 247-nucleotide unclassified non-coding RNA is filed under the name Hevea brasiliensis (rubber tree). The record is from RNAcentral. Lineage: Eukaryota; Viridiplantae; Streptophyta; Magnoliopsida; Malpighiales; Euphorbiaceae.